AGAAAAGAAUACGGUAUCAUCCAUAUAAUCUGGGGAAUAUGGCCCUAGAGUCUCUACCGGGCAGCCGUAAACUGCCCGACUAUGGAUGAGUCAAUAGGUUAU
This 102-nucleotide non-coding RNA is filed under the name Caloramator australicus. RNAcentral's name for it is "Guanine sequence". It matches the Rfam family "Purine riboswitch aptamer". From Rfam's summary of the family: Riboswitches are metabolite binding domains within certain messenger RNAs that serve as precision sensors for their corresponding targets. Allosteric rearrangement of mRNA structure is mediated by ligand binding, and this results in modulation of gene expression. Lineage: Bacteria; Bacillati; Bacillota; Clostridia; Eubacteriales; Clostridiaceae. RNAcentral also lists the same sequence under 1 other name. The record is from RNAcentral.